RNAcentral lists this ribosomal RNA (118 nucleotides) under Pteropus alecto (black flying fox). Lineage: Eukaryota; Metazoa; Chordata; Mammalia; Chiroptera; Pteropodidae. The record is from RNAcentral.
GGCUAUAGCCAUGCUACCCUGAACAAGCCCGAUCUGCCUGAUCUCAGAAGCUAAGCAGUGUCGGGCCUGGUUAGUACUUGGAUGGGAGACCACCUGGGAAGACAAGGUGCUCUAGGAG